RNAcentral lists this ribosomal RNA (548 nucleotides) under uncultured bacterium. RNAcentral's name for it is "partial 16S ribosomal RNA". It matches the Rfam family "Bacterial small subunit ribosomal RNA", at positions 355 to 895 of the family's 1533-position model. The record is from RNAcentral.
UGGGGAAUUUUGGACAAUGGGGGAAACCCUGAUCCAGCCAUCCCGCGUGUGCGAUGAAGGCCUUCGGGUUGUAAAGCACUUUUGGCAGGAAAGAAACGUCGCUGGUUAAUACCCCGCGAAACUGACGGUACCUGCAGAAUAAGCACCGGCUAACUACGUGCCAGCAGCCGCGGUAAUACGUAGGGUGCAAGCGUUAAUCGGAAUUACUGGGCGUAAAGCGUGCGCAGGCGGUUCGGAAAGAAAGAUGUGAAAUCCCAGAGCUUAACUUUGGAACUGCAUUUUUAACUACCGGGCUAGAGUGUGUCAGAGGGAGGUGGAAUUCCGCGUGUAGCAGUGAAAUGCGUAGAUAUGCGGAGGAACACCGAUGGCGAAGGCAGCCUCCUGGGAUAACACUGACGCUCAUGCACGAAAAGCGUGGGGAGCAAACAGGAUUAGAUACCCUGGUAGUCCACGCCCUAAACGAUGUCAACUAGCUGUUGGGGCCUUCGGGCCUUGGUAGCGCAGCUAACGCGUGAAGUUGACCGCCUGGGGAGUACGGUCGCAAGAUU